GGGGGGAAGGGUCAGUACAUGGGCUUUGUCUUGUAAUUGGAAUGAUGGUGACGUAAAAUCUCACCAGAGUAACAAUUGGAGGGCAAGUCUGGUGCCAGCAGCCGCGGUAAUUCCAGCUCCAAUAGCGUAUAUUAAACUUGUUGCAGUUAAAAAGCUCGUAGUUGAAUUUCUGCGUUGCCCGACUCGGCUACUUGCCUUGUCUGGUUUCGCUUUUGGGGUUUUCCCCUUUUUACUUUGAGAAAAUUAGAGUGUUUCAAGCAGACUUGUGUCUUGAAUACUUCAGCAUGGAAUAAUAAAGUAGGACUUUGGUUCUAUUUUGUUGGUUUGUGAACCUUAGUAAUGGUUAAUAGGAACGGUUGGGGGCUUCGUAUUUAAA
This 376-nucleotide ribosomal RNA is filed under the name Babesia gibsoni. Its description in RNAcentral is "SSU rRNA". It matches the Rfam family "Eukaryotic small subunit ribosomal RNA", at positions 469 to 902 of the family's 1831-position model. The record is from RNAcentral. Lineage: Eukaryota; Apicomplexa; Aconoidasida; Piroplasmida; Babesiidae.